This is a long non-coding RNA of Vigna unguiculata (cowpea), 823 nucleotides long. RefSeq lists it as uncharacterized. The record is from RefSeq and is a predicted model, not a curated record. Lineage: Eukaryota; Viridiplantae; Streptophyta; Magnoliopsida; Fabales; Fabaceae.
AAUGAACUAUCGUUUUCUCUCUCUCUCUUCUCUCUCAAUUUCAAUUUCAAGCACAAAGAGAAAGCGAUCUGAGUGGAUGAGGUGAGAAGUUGGGAGCUGAUUCGCCAUCAAGCAUCUCGCAACACAAUUUCUGACCAAACGUGAAAUCCGUGUUUUUCAAGGUAUACGCAGCUUUGUUUUCUUCUCUUCUGUUUUUUCGUAUCGCUUUCUAAGGCUUCCAUCGAACCUACUUUUUCUAUAUUUAAUGUUUCUGUAUUCAAUGUUUGUCUUUCUAUGGAUUCUGCAAUAUUCACUUUACCUCUGUUUUACUAACCUUGAAAUCGAACUAGAUCAAAUUCAUAUGCUGUUCAGGAAAUUCUGGAUCUGGUCAAUUACUCUGUAGGUUUAUAUGUGGCUUUGGGAUAAUUUUUACCGGAGUUAACUUCAAGAGAGCUCCUUUUUAUCCAUGAGAGAGAGAAUGUUGGAACAGGAAGGUGGGUUGAGAACCCUAAACCUUGGAAUAUGGGUUAGCUUUUGCAAAUUUGGUGUCGGAUAAUCUUCACUUUGCAGAAAUGGGUUUUCUGCAUAUUGGUGUUGGAAAAUGUUUACCAUUGGUAUUGGUAUUUUCUGCUUCUUCAGCUGACGAACAUUGAGUUUCUAUUGCCCCUGUCUGUUAUUUAUAGAAAUUGUGGAUUUAUGAUUUCAGUGAGUGAAUUCAAAUAUUGGAUAUUGGCUGGUUGAUGUUUGACAUAUGGUUGUUUGUUGCGUGCUAUCUUCCGGUCCCUUAACAAUCAAAAGGAGUAUCUGCUUAACAUGGUUUUAUGGUAUUGAUUGUUAGAUAUUA